UACGUAGGGUGCAAGCGUUGUCCGGAAUUAUUGGGCGUAAAGAGCUCGUAGGCGGUUUGUCGCGUCUGCUGUGAAAACCCGAGGCUCAACCUCGGGCCUGCAGUGGGUACGGGCAGACUAGAGUGCGGUAGGGGAGAUUGGAAUUCCUGGUGUAGCGGUGAAAUGCGCAGAUAUCAGGAGGAACACCGGUGGCGAAGGCGGGUCUCUGGGCCGUAACUGACGCUGAGGAGCGAAAGCGUGGGGAGCGAACAGG
RNAcentral lists this ribosomal RNA (253 nucleotides) under uncultured bacterium. RNAcentral's name for it is "partial 16S ribosomal RNA". It matches the Rfam family "Bacterial small subunit ribosomal RNA", at positions 524 to 776 of the family's 1533-position model. The record is from RNAcentral.